UUUUAUAAUGAUGAACUUUAACAACAUCUGGUUGCAAUAACUUCCCGCACUUGCAUUUCAUACAAGGACACCUAAUGUCACGAUCCGGAUUUACCCACCAUCGGGAGUCGUAGUGGCGCCUACUAUCGAAGCUAGGCAAUCCAACCUUUAUAAUUAUUUUCACAAUUUAUAUCUAAAACACUUAAAUACUAGAACAAUUAAUUAAAGCAUGCGGAAGUCUUUUAAUAACAAUAAUAAAAAAAAUAAGAUGCGAAAACGAACAACCUGUCUCUACCCAGUAUCUGGUGUCACUGCUCACGGACAACUAAAGAAUACUAAAAAUUAAUAGUUUGAAAGAAAAUACAACUGGAGUCUGUUUGAUACGAAUAUAAAAAACUAGAAAAGAUAGAGGACACUCGGGCCACGCGAACGCCAGCGAACUACCUCGGAGCCUCUGGACUGAAGGAUCACUCCCGGUCUAAAGCUGUGGUCCGUAAACUAGGUCCUGACCUGUGAACAAAAAGGAACAGAAGCGUAGUAUCAGCACAACCGACCCCGUGUGGUGGUAAGUGUCCGGCCUAACCUCGGUGAGGUAGUGACGCAACUAACCGGACCUACCAUAAACAACCUGUACAUAUAUAUAUAAAAAGGGAAGGGGACAUAUGGGGGGAGUAACAGUUUUAUUAUAACUUCUACAAUCAAGAGAUGAAACUGAAUAAAUAAUAACUAAACAAGAAAGCCGAUGAAUCGACGGCUGCACGGAAUCACCCUUCGUGUUUUUACUCUCAUUCCUUACCAAAAUAGUCAAAUAUAAUGCACGGCAUCAUUCAAUUAUAAUUUCUACAAUCAAGAGAUGGAACUAAAUAAAUCAUACUUAAACAAGAAAGAGAAUGAAUCAACAGCUGCACGGCAUCACCCUUCGUGCAUUUACUCUCAUUUCUCACCAGGAAUAUCAAUUACAAGGCACAACCUCACCCUUUGUGCUUUUACUCUCGAUAAACAGUGCACGGCAUCACCCUUCGUGCUUUUACUCUCUCUUCGUCUCCCAAACAAUGGUCACAGCCAAACAGGAACAAGGAAAUAUAUAUCUAUCAAGACAGAAUAUCCCGGCAAGGCAGAACAAUACAACAAGUGAUCCCGACAAGGGAAAUACAACUCAACAAUAUGUCCCAACAAGGGAAUACAACUCAACCAAUGGUCCCGGCAAGGGAAAAGUACCAAAUUCCUUUUUAGUUCAUUUAAUUCUCAACUUUCACUUCAUGGUUCUUGUAACAAGUAAUUAUUACAAUUUAUCACUUAUUCACAAUUUAAUAGCAAAUAUGACAUCACGGUCAUGCUUGACUCGGGCACAUAGGUAACCGUCACCAUACCUAAACACUGACGCCACAUAGGACAUAACAAAUCCUAUUCCCUUAAACCAAAGUUAGAUCGAACACUUACCUCGAAGGCUUGCAACUCAAAUCACGCCUCUAGAAUAUUUUUACCACUCGAAUUUGCUUCAAACCAGUCGAAUCUAACCACAUUUCACUCAAAUGUAUCAACAAAUGUUAGUUAAAUUAAUUUGGAUGCAUAAGAAUGAAAUUUCCAAAGAUUUACUCAAAAUUUCCAAAAAUGCCCCCCGGACCCACGUGGUCAAAACUCGAGGUUCGAACAAAAAUCGGGUUACCCAUUCCCCCACGAGCUCAUAUCUAUAACUAGAAUUGAAAUCGGAAUUCAAAUCGAGAUCCAAAAGCUCAAAUUAUAGAAAACCUAAGUUCUACCCAAAACCCAAAAUUCCCAUUUUUGAAAAUAUUUGAUUGAAGUAAAAAUUAUGUUAAAAGAUGUUAAGGAAUAGGAAAAUUAGGUUAUAAAUCACUUACCAAUCAUUUUGGAGAAGAAAUGUUAUUUAGAAAAUAGCCUCUUAGGUUUUGGGUUUGUGAGGAAAGACUAAAAAGAAAAAAGGAAGCUUUCGACGGACACAAGCCCUCGGGACUUGACACUUGGACACAGUGGAAAAUGGCUGAAAUUUCAAAUUUAUAUACUUUUGGGAUGGGCUGGUGCGGACUGCACAAAAACGCACCACGACCGCACUGAGAGGGAAGAAAAAUGAGGCUCUCCGAACCUACCCAGGCGGAACCCACAAGAAGUGACACGACCGCGCGGCCCCCAGUGCGGACCUCAUGGAAAUGUUCGCGGCCGCACUGGUGGAAAUGGAACUACCCGCCCUCGGAGACCCAGCCAGGCGGACCACAAAAGAAGGGACGCGGCGGCGGGGUCCCCAUACGGACCGCAUGGAAAUGGUUUACGGCCGCACUGGUGUCUGCAACCCUGAACCUGAUAUUUUUCCUAAGUUUAAAAUAUCCCAAACCACCUCCAAAACACACCCGAGCCCUCAGAGCUCUAAACCAAACAUGUGCACUGACUUGAAAACAUUAUACGAACUUACUAAUGUGAUCAAGUUUCCAAAAUAGCACCAUUUACAUAGAAUUAAGCCUCAAAAUCAUAAUUUCGCUCUUUAACACUUGAAACUCAAAGUUUCCAUUUUCAAGUACGAAACACGUCAAACGAAGUCCGAUUCAAAUGAAACUUCACAGAUAGUGCUUAACAAUUAUUUAUGACUUGUACCGGGUGUUGGAACCAAAAUACGAGCUCGAUACCAUUACCUUUUACACAUUUUUCUAAUUUAUUUUCCUUAAAAAUUCACAUGAAUCAAUUAAGCUGAAAAAUUACUUUUCUCGGGCCUGGGACCUCGGAUUCCGAUUUCGGAAAUACGCCAGGGUCCCAAAUUUAAUUACGGACCCUCUGAGACAAUCACAUCACGGGUCUGGGUCAGUUUAACCAAAACGUUGACCAAAGUAAACCAUAGCAAUAUUAUUUUCAAAAUUCAUAGUUUUUAACACGGAAUUCAAAUAUUUUCAUAUAAAAAAUUCCCGGCUUCGCGCCCGCAUUGCGCACGCAAAUCAAGGCAACCCUAUAAGAGGUUUUCAAGGCCUCGGAAACAAAAGAAAAGAGAGAAUUGCGGUGAUGACCCUCUGGGUCAUCACACCUAAUCACCCCUUCACUGAUACAACUCCAUAUAUUCUAUCAUGUGGAUAAAAAGAAUACAUUAGAAGAACCAAAUAUAUCAAAACACAAACACACACAAAAAUAAUAUACAUAUACAUAUUCUGAAGUUUAAUACCAGUAAAUUAUUAAACCAAACACUCUAUUUUAAAAGAAAUCAAACAUUAAUUAAAGGGUUUUGAAGUUUAAUACUAGUAAAUUGUUAAACCAAACACUCUAUUUUAAAAGAAAUCAAACAUUAAUGAAAGAGAAAUUUGAAAUAGAAUUAGAGAUAAUGUGUGUCCCCUGAACUCACCAGAGAAGUCGUAACGGUGCUGGGAUCGACGAAACAUGGCAAUGGCUUGAGCGAACUGGAAGAGAUUCAGAUGAACGAAAAAAUUAAACUAGAAAGUGAAAAAAACUCACAGUAUGAGAAGAAAGAGAGAGAGGGGUGUUAUCGAUGAGCAGCAGAGAAAACAAUUAUACAAACAGUAAUAUAAACAUCUAUCAUUGUUCAUGUGUAUAGGUAGUUGAAUGGAUUAUCUGUUAAGAAAACGAAUCUUAUUAUGCUAUCAACCAAUAUGAGACACUUUAGUCUUAAGUUCUCUUUUAAGCCUAACUAUAGAAGAUAUUCAUGGUUCUGAUGGUUAUUCGAAAUUGAUUCUUGCUUAGGGGUAGCAUGAUCCACAGACAAAAAUGAAAAAACUAAAAAGGAAAAAUAACAAAUUUAGGAGAACACAACGAAGAACAUUGCUCUAAAAUAAGAGGAACACAGAAACAGGUAAGCACAAUACUCAGAUAAACAUUUUCGUGCACCAUGAGAACAAUAAUACAAAUAGUUUUCGUGAUUUACCUUCAGAAAUUUGGGGAGAGAUGGGUUAUCGGCGAGGAGCAGAGAGAAGGAGGGGUUAUCGGCGAGCAGAGAGACAGGAAAUUGGGGAAAUAGGGUUCGAAUGUGAAAUAUUAGAUUAAUAUUAGUGACCAC
RNAcentral lists this long non-coding RNA (3985 nucleotides) under Nicotiana benthamiana. RNAcentral's name for it is "long non-coding RNA (NBEN_LNC009384)". The record is from RNAcentral. Lineage: Eukaryota; Viridiplantae; Streptophyta; Magnoliopsida; Solanales; Solanaceae.